GGCAACCCUGACGGAGCAACGCCGCGUGUGGGAGGACGGCCUUCGGGUUGUAAACCACUUUUCUCAGGGAAGAAGGACUGGCGGUACCUGAGGAAUCAGCCUCGGCUAACUCCGUGCCAGCAGCCGCGGUAAUACGGAGGAGGCAAGCGUUAUCCGGAAUUAUUGGGCGUAAAGCGUCCGCAGGGGGCACAUCAAGUCUGCUGUUAAAGGCUGGAGCUUAACUCCGGUAGAGCAGUGGAAACUGGUGUGCUAGAGGGCGACAGGGGUAGAGGGAAUUCCCAGUGUAGCGGUGAAAUGCGUAGAGAUUGGGAAGAACACCGGUGGCGAAAGCGCUCUACUGGGUCGCACCUGACCCUCAGGGACGAAAGCUAAGGUAGCG
RNAcentral lists this ribosomal RNA (379 nucleotides) under uncultured cyanobacterium. Its description in RNAcentral is "bacterial SSU rRNA". It matches the Rfam family "Bacterial small subunit ribosomal RNA", at positions 376 to 770 of the family's 1533-position model. The record is from RNAcentral. Lineage: Bacteria; Bacillati; Cyanobacteriota.